GUGGCUCUCAACAAGGGAGGGCUGGCACAAAAUCUUCAGCCAACCAUUAUUUUGCAAAGCAACAAGGAAAACCAUCAAAGCACUCUGGAGGAAGCAGGAACAAAACAAAAAAUGCUACGUGCAUUCAUGUGAAAAAUGAAGCGUGCACCUGUUAGAUGAGGUCUUUCAUGACAGCCGUACAUUGCAGGCAAUUUUCUUCUGUUUACAAAGCCCAGUGAAGAGGCUAUCUGUUCUGUCCUCCUGAGUGUCUCUCGAGUGCCCUGAUACCGAAUUCCAACACAUUUGUACCUUCCCACCCUUGUGGAUACUCACGGAGUGUCCAGGAAGCAGGGCACACAGUCUGCUGCCUAGACCAGAGUGGACCAGGACCCACAGCUCUGGAAACACACGGAGGACUGUAAGAAAUGAGGAACCCUGAAACAGAACCUGAGUUCCCACAAGAUCCCCACCUUGUCUCAGUCACCCUAAGGUUGGGGAAGCUCUGCUCUGAAGUGUCACGGUGGCUUGAGCUCACUGUCUUUUCUGUGUCUGCUGAGAGCAUUCCCUGGACAUGACCUCAGUGUCUGACAAAAUCUCCAAGAAGUCACAGGUCCCAGCAGAUCACCUGAGCCACCUUGCUUCCUGUCCUUCUGAUCAAGUCUGGGCACGUCCACAGCAGCACUCGGGGCAGGAAGCCAGGGGUCGGUUCCUCUGAUGUGGGACGAUGCCCCUGUGUCCAGCUGUGGAUCUGUGAGACUGUCUGGACCUGUCCCGGCCACUGCCCUGUCAGAGUGGCUGUGCUGGACAGGGCAGGCUUGCCCAGCUGCUGCAAGGUUUUCCUCAAGAGACAGCAGGGUGGCCUUCUUGCCAAGCCGGGAAGCCAUGGAAGAAACAGGAAGGUGAAAUUCCCGAAAAGUGGAAUUUUCACAAAUAUGAAAUUUUAGGAAAGACCAACCAAGUUAAUCAAAGCAGAUGAAGACUAAUUAAUUAAAGCAGAUGAAGACUAAUUAGUCAAAGCAGAUGAAGACUAAUACACUUUUUAUAUAAAGAGCUCACACUACCCUGAAGGGAGACCACAUAGCCUUGACACAUGGCACAGGCUGGGAGCAGGUUACUUAGCAGCCAGCCUGGCCACCGCACUCACGUCCCCAGUAACCUGAGUGCUGCGUUCUUUAUUAAGAACACGUUAGUACACAUCACACACACACACACACACACACACACACACACACAAACACACGUGCACCAUAAAAGUUCUACGCAGUAAAACAGACCCAGCCAGGCCCUGCGGUGAACCAGGACAAGUCAGCCUCUGUAAGAGAACUUGGGAAAACCUGUCAACUACCCAAGAAAACAUAGCUACAAUUCUAGCCAUGACUUUCUCAUAGGAAAGUGUCACACUAUCUACGGUGGCUUCCAUGUUUUGUAACAUAAUAUGACAUUCAAAAUAGUUAAUUUUUUUGUACUUUGUAAUUUUUCUGGGCUUACAUUUGGGAGACAAAUGGUCACUUUCAUAGUUUCUAUGUUAGCCCUAUCCAGCCGAUAGGGGUUACGUAAAGUGCAUUUAUAAAGUGAAAUUUUUUGAGUAAAAGGAAGAGGAUAUUAUAGAAUCGAGAUGCUGUCUGGACAUUAAAAUAGACCACACGUGGGAAGGAUGGGUCAUGUUAAUACAUGGUCUUGCGUCCAGGGCAGAAAGAGAGGUUCCCUUAACAUACCUUCCAAACCUGUGUAAGGUAGCUUGGCAACCUCGCAGUGGCUGCAGGACUGACCAGGGCUCCAGCAAAUGCUGCACCACACGCUCCGUGCACCCUGUGGGGCCUGCAGUCAGCUCUCAUGUGACAGGGACAUGGUUCUGAGGAAAAGCGGGCCAAGACCUCCGUGCCUCACACUGGUCCCUCCAGCCUGCAGACAGAUGUGUUGUACCAACAAGUGUGUGGCAAAAA
Non-coding RNA from Ictidomys tridecemlineatus (thirteen-lined ground squirrel), 1922 nucleotides. The record is from RefSeq and is a predicted model, not a curated record. NCBI's taxonomy places the organism in Eukaryota, Metazoa, Chordata, Mammalia, Rodentia, Sciuridae.